UACGGAGGGGGCGAGCGUUGUCCGAAGUUACUGGGCGUAAAGCGCGUGUAGGCGGUUUGUCAAGUCCGCUGUGAAAGCCCGAGGCUCAACCUCGGAGGGUCGGUGGAUACUGGCAGUCUUGAAGGUGCUAGGGGGAGAUGGAAUUACCGGUGUAGCGGUGAAAUGCGUAGAGAUCGGUAGGAACACCAGUGGCGAAGGCGGGUCUCUGGGCCAAAACUGACGCUGAGGAGCGAAAGCGUGGGGAGCGAACAGG
Molecule: ribosomal RNA, 253 nt
Filed under: uncultured bacterium
Lineage: Bacteria
Description: partial 16S ribosomal RNA
Rfam family: Bacterial small subunit ribosomal RNA
Source: RNAcentral